RNAcentral lists this ribosomal RNA (460 nucleotides) under uncultured bacterium. RNAcentral's name for it is "partial 16S ribosomal RNA". It matches the Rfam family "Bacterial small subunit ribosomal RNA", at positions 338 to 795 of the family's 1533-position model. The record is from RNAcentral.
CCUACGGGAGGCAGCAGUGAGGAAUAUUGGUCAAUGGACGAGAGUCUGAACCAGCCAAGUAGCGUGAAGGAUGACUGCCCUAUGGGUUGUAAACUUCUUUUAUAUGGGAAUAAAAUGUUCCACGUGUGGGAUUUUGUAUGUACCAUAUGAAUAAGGAUCGGCUAACUCCGUGCCAGCAGCCGCGGUAAUACGGAGGAUCCGAGUGUUAUCCGGAUUUAUUGGGUUUAAAGGGAGCGUAGGUGGAUUGUUAAGUCAGUUGUGAAAGUUUGCGGCUCAACCGUAAAAUUGCAGUUGAAACUGGCAGUCUUGAGUACAGUAGAGGUGGGCGGAAUUCGUGGUGUAGCGGUGAAAUGCUUAGAUAUCACGAAGAACUCCGAUUGCGAAGGCAGUUCACUGGACUGCAACUGACAUUGAGGCUCGAAAGUGUGGGUAUCAAACAGGAUUAGAUACCCGAGUAGUC